ACCAUGCCUGCCAGGAUGCUGCCUUGAUGAUAAUGGACAGAACCUCUGAACCUAUCCAAUAUUCUCUGGGUGGGGGAUUAUAGCACAGUCCUUUCCCGAAGCUUAGAGUGUGGGUGUAGCAAACGUUACACACAACAUUGGAAAGGAUCCUGAAGUUACACAGUAGGCCCAAAUGCCUUACGUCAGCUCAGAAUAAAUAAAUCCAUAUAAAGAGGGCCAAGAAAAAGCUCGCAGUUCCCACUAAAGUAGCCCUUACCUUCCAUACGGGUUCUCCAGGACUGUUUUUAACAUGAGGCACAUUGAAAUUCAACAUCCGCUUCAGAGCCACUGAAAAUAAAGUUGACAUCAGUU
Molecule: long non-coding RNA, 351 nt
Filed under: Rattus norvegicus (Norway rat)
Lineage: Eukaryota; Metazoa; Chordata; Mammalia; Rodentia; Muridae
Description: long non-coding RNA NONRATT024995
Source: RNAcentral